AUGGCGCAAAGUUUGACAGUCUUUUUCGUGACAGUGCUUUCUACUGUAGUGUUUGGGAUAAAAGAAGGCAGUGACCAGUGCUCAGUUCCUGUAAGAAUAUACACAAUGUGGAUGGUACUUGAAAAGUUAUUAUGCUGGAGUUGCCUGAGAUUCUUCAAACACAUGGAGUGCGUUCGAGACCGCCAUUCUUCGAACGAGCACAAAUUCCUGCCGAUUCCGAACUCCGAGUACGCAUCACGAGAACGGAUUCGAGGUGCAAGAACUGCAAGUAGUGUGAUCUAAGAACAAGCACGUUUGCGCGCACAUGUUCUCGUCAUUCACGACUCAAACACAGGAGUUUGUAACACUAUAGCUCAUGGCUUGGUAAAUCGAGUGAAUUUUAUUGACUUUAUUGAUAAAAUUUCGAACUCCUGUGACUGUAAGAACUGAGCACGAAAACAAUGGUAACGUCGAUCUCGAACGCACUUAUGGACAUUUAUAAAAGGAUUAACUCGGAGGUUACUGUAUGCUUCUGAAGAUCUUGAAUGCAAAAUAAAGUAUGGUGAUCUUUUUCUUCUGAAGGUGUCAGAAAAUGAAUUGCUUGCAACUGUGAUGUGUUUCGUUUCAUUAAAUACUAUUGAAUAA
Molecule: long non-coding RNA, 624 nt
Organism: Ostrea edulis (European flat oyster)
Lineage: Eukaryota; Metazoa; Mollusca; Bivalvia; Ostreida; Ostreidae
Exons: 3
Source: RefSeq, a predicted model, not a curated record